Molecule: RNA transcript, 2818 nt
Organism: Periophthalmus magnuspinnatus
Lineage: Eukaryota; Metazoa; Chordata; Actinopteri; Gobiiformes; Gobiidae
Gene: slc43a1b
Gene name: solute carrier family 43 member 1b
Exons: 16
Source: RefSeq, a predicted model, not a curated record
CACAAGUCUACUGCAUGGAGCCACUUUGCUAUUGCUGCGUUUAAGGAAUCUACACAGGGAAAUCACAUAAUCAAUAACAAACUUCACACAGAAGAUUCUGCUAACAGUAGAAUGGCUCCGAGUCUGGCACAGGCGUACCGGAGGCGCUGGUGGAUGGCAGUCACAGCGAUCAUAGAAAACCUGCUGUGCUCGGCUGUGUUGCUGGGGUGGGGCUCUCUCCUCAUUAUGCUCAAGAACGAGGGAUUUUACUCGCACAUCUGCACCGAGAAUGAAACCGUGCCCUCUAACCACUCAUUCGAGCACAGCGGGGAGUACGCAAGCUGUGUGGAGCAGGAGGAGAUCCUGAAUCUAGGUUUCACCAUCGGAUCGUUUCUCCUCAGCGCUGCAACUUUACCUCUGGGAAUUUUAAUGGACAAGUUUGGACCACGCCCACUCAGGCUUGUAGGCAGUUCAUGUUUUGCAGCAUCGUGUGCGAUGAUUGCCACAGCAACGUACAAACCUGAAGUUCUGUCCAUGCUCAUCUUUUUUGCUGUUUCAUUUAACGGUUUUGGAGGAAUUUGUCUGACCUUCACAUCACUCACACUGCCAAACAUGUUUGGAAACAUCCGCUCCACGAUUCUCUCACUGAUGAUUGGCUCCUAUGCCUCAUCUGCUGUCACGUUCCCGGGAGUCAAGCUGAUCUACGAUGCGGGCGUUUCAUUCAGGAUCAUCAUGUGGACCUGGUCUGGUCUCGCCUGUCUUGUCUUCAUCAACUGUUUUCUCAAUUGGCCCCUGGAGUCCUUCCCUGCUCCAGAGGACAUAAGAUACACUAAGAAGGUAAAGAUGAGUAGCAUUGUCACGAAGGACAUUAAAACCGGAGACAUGCACGUCACUCCAGUCACUACGUUUGAGGAAACUGUGGACUCCAGACAGGAAAAGGACCAUUCAGACUCGCAGAGCGCCCCCCAGAGUGCAGUUCCUCUGUGCCGCUCCGUCUGCUCUCCCAUCUUCCUUUGGAGCCUGAUCACAAUGCCCAUGACUCAGCUCAGGCUCAUCUUCUUCAUGGGCGCCAUGAACAAGAUGCUGGAGUUCCUUGUCACCCACGGAGACUCCUCAGAAAAUCUACAGAUAGAGGCAGAGACACAAGUUGGUUUCUACUCGUCUGUGUUCGGUUCACUGCAGCUGCUGUGCCUGGUCACGUGUCCAAUGAUUGGGUACAUCAUGGACUGGAGGAUGAAGGAGUGUGAGGAGGAGAACGCAACUCCAGAAACUCUGAAAGGCCAAUCAGGUCCUCCAAAACGUGACAGGAAGAUCCAGAAACUAACCAAUGCCCUGAGAGCAUUCAUCUUUACAAACCUCCUCCUCGUCACAUUUGGGGUCAUUUCACUCAUCGACAAUCUACCCAUUCAGAUGGUGUCAUUUGUUCUGCAUACUAUGGUCAGAGGAUUCAUCCACUCAUGCUGCGGAGGCCUCUAUGCUGCAGUAUAUCCAGCAAACCAUUUUGGGACUCUGACGGGCAUGCAGUCCAUGGUCAGUGCAGCGUUUGCUCUUCUGCAGCAGCCUCUGUUCAUCCUGAUGUUGGGCACACUCAAAGGAGAUCCGUACUGGAUAAACUUUGCCCUGCUCAUUUUUUCAUUGGCCGGGUUCCUGUUACCGGGAUAUCUCUUCUACCACAGACGAAAUCUCAUCAAGGCCAAAGCGCAGCACAAUUCAAAUCUUCUCAGCCAAUCAGAGCAAGACAACAAUUCUCUCUACCAAUCAGAAAACAGCAAAGUUCGAGCCAAUGGCCACACAGCUAACGGGGAUGUUAUUUAGGAUUGUAGUGUUUUUUUUUUAUUGUGCAAAUAUUGAGUUUAUGAAUGACAUAGAGGAGGUUGGUGAGAAGUUUGUCCUGACCAACUGGUUUUAAAACGAAAGACAAAUGCUGCCUUGGGACAAAUACGGGUCACCUUUUGUUUUGACAAAAUAGUAUAAUAUGAGUUAGGGAUGUAACAAUAUACAUAUUUCUCACGCUACUGCAAUAUUUUGUGAAGGCUUACAGUAUUAUAAGAUCUAGGACACAUAUUAUGCUAAAUGUAUUUUUGGAGCUUCUACCCAUGUUUCCUUAUCAAAAAACAUAGCUUGAGUUGUUUUGAGCGUUAUUCAUGCUGGUUUCAAUAAUCCUUUUGUAAAAAGUCCUCGGGUCCUGUGGUUUGAAUUUUCACAGGAUUGUUGCAUCACAAGUAGAAACCCUGUGCAGUUUUGAAGUCGACAAAUCAUUGACAGACUCGUUUAAAGCAAUUGCACCUUCAAAUUGGGUUCAUUAAAAAUGCAUGAUUAACAUUACCCCCCCCCCCCCCAAGCUGGAAAAUAAUGGUCAGUACAUGGUCAUUAUUUUCAGUGAGAUGCCAAAGCAAAGGUACUCAACAGCAUGUUUAAAGACCAACAGUAUAAAUAACAGUACAAGUAAUGCAUAAUAUGUGUUCUUUAUUAAGUGUUUUAAGGAGGACUAUGUAACGUUUCUGGGGAAUCCACCACCUGCAGGUCUACAUGGAGAUGUGUUGCUUUGUCUAGAAUGUUCUACAGUAUGGCAAUUAUUUAGCUUGCAUUGACUCAAUUACAGGAAGAUUAUUGUUGAAAAAUACAUUGAAUACUCAGACUUCUCAGUCUCUUCUCAGAUCUGACCUGUAACUUGGCGUCACUUAGUCUCAAAGCAGGUGGCAGACCCUCCACCAGAGAAGUUACAUACUGCACCUUUAAGUAAUUUCUUCAUGUUGGCUGCACUGAAACAGAGCGAGGGUUCAUGAUCUACAGAGUAGUAGCAGAAGUAUUAGUAGUAGUAUAAGUAACUAUCCUUGGG